This 274-nucleotide ribosomal RNA is filed under the name uncultured bacterium. Its description in RNAcentral is "partial 16S ribosomal RNA". It matches the Rfam family "Bacterial small subunit ribosomal RNA", at positions 523 to 796 of the family's 1533-position model. The record is from RNAcentral.
AUACGGAGGGUGCAAGCGUUGUUCGGAAUCACUGGGCGUAAAGGGCGCGCAGGCGGUUUGGUAAGUCAGAUGUGAAAGCCCACGACUCAACCGUGGAAGUGCAUUUGAAACUGUCAGACUUGAGUACUAGAGGGGAAAGUGGAAUUCCCGGUGUAGAGGUGAAAUUCGUAGAUAUCGGGAGGAAUACCGGUGGCGAAGGCGACUUUCUGGCUAGAUACUGACGCUGAGGCGCGAAAGCGUGGGGAGCAAACAGGAUUAGAAACCCUUGUAGUCC